GCCGAUGUGGCUCAAUGGCAGAGCAGCUCAUUCGUAAUGAGCAGGUUGUCGGUUCGAUUCCGACCAUCGGCUCCA
RNAcentral lists this transfer RNA (75 nucleotides) under Clostridiales bacterium. RNAcentral describes it as "tRNA-Thr". It matches the Rfam family "tRNA". Rfam says of the family: Transfer RNA (tRNA) molecules are approximately 80 nucleotides in length. Their secondary structure includes four short double-helical elements and three loops (D, anti-codon, and T loops). The record is from RNAcentral. Lineage: Bacteria; Bacillati; Bacillota; Clostridia; Eubacteriales.